This 765-nucleotide ribosomal RNA is filed under the name Triticum aestivum (bread wheat). RNAcentral describes it as "partial small subunit ribosomal RNA". The record is from RNAcentral. Lineage: Eukaryota; Viridiplantae; Streptophyta; Magnoliopsida; Poales; Poaceae.
AUGCGCGCCGACCUGCUCCCGCUCUCGUUCGCCGGCCUCUUCGUCCACUUCAUGGAGCACAAGUAUCCCGAAUUCUUCGCCCGCCCCUCCUCCUCCUCCUCGGGAGAUGCCAUCAGCGGCGACCUCAGCUUCCUGCCCUCCACCGGCCCUCGCGCCGGCACUAUAUGGGAACACUCUGAUGAUUGGCAUGGCUACAACAUCGAGGAUCACUGUAACGGGCUACUCUUGCUCAGCAAAAAUUGUGUCGUUAACCCUGCCACCCGUCAGUGGAAUGCUUUCCCGCCGUGCCCGGCCCAAGAUUGUACUAGAUGGAACAUGUGGUACUCUAGUCAUUUGGUCUAUGAUCCGAUGAUAUCCCCACACUAUGAGGUACUUAUGAUCCCAUGUUUGCGUGACAACAACGAUCGUAUAUGUGACGAAGACGAGGCAGACCUCUCCAUGGAGGAAUCCGAGUGGCCACUGUCUCCAUGCAAGAUGUAUGUGUUCUCAUCAAGGACUAGUUGUUGGGAGGACAAGUAUUUCGUCCGAGAAGGCGGUGCGGCAAGGACCGUCGGCGAGAUGCGGGUGGGUUGGCAGGAAUUCAACGAGGCUGCUGUCUAUUUUCGAAGAGCACUUUAUAUGCACUGCGGGGCUGCUUUUCUUAUGAGGUACAUGUUUACCAGCUUUGUUAUUAUAUUAUCUGAUGUCUAUCUUGGUGGUGGUUUGUUAUUAAAACAUUUAUGGACAAUGCAUGAUUUGAUUAUGCAGAAUAUCAUUGUCAGAUAA